This 112-nucleotide ribosomal RNA is filed under the name uncultured eukaryote. Its description in RNAcentral is "partial small subunit ribosomal RNA". It matches the Rfam family "Bacterial small subunit ribosomal RNA", at positions 1416 to 1525 of the family's 1533-position model. The record is from RNAcentral.
UGUACCAGAAGUGCGUGGGCUAACUCGCAAGGGGGGCAGCGUACCAAGGUGUGGUCGGUAAUUGGGGUGAAGUCGUAACAAGGUAGCCGUAGGUGAACCUGCAGAAGGAUCA